CCUACGGGAGGCUGCAGUGGGGAAUUUUGCGCAAUGGGGGAAACCCUGACGCAGCAACGCCGCGUGAGUGAUGAAGGCCUUCGGGUCGUAAAGCUCUGUCAGAGGGGAAGAAGUGUGGGGUGGCUAAUAUCCAUUUCACUUGACGGUACCUUCAAAGGAAGCACCGGCUAACUCCGUGCCAGCAGCCGCGGUAAUACGGAGGGUGCGAGCGUUGUUCGGAAUUAUUGGGCGUAAAGCGCGUGUAGGCGGUUUUUUAAGUCUGAUGUGAAAGCCCUGGGCUCAACCCGGGAAGUGCAUUGGAAACUGGGAGACUUGAAUACGGGAGAGGGCAGUGGAAUUCCUGGUGUAGGAGUGAAAUCCGUAGAUAUCAGGAGGAACACCGGUGGCGAAGGCGGCUGCCUGGACCGAUAUUGACGCUGAGACGCGAAAGCGUGGGGAGCAAACAGGAUUAGAUACCCGGGUAGUC
RNAcentral lists this ribosomal RNA (466 nucleotides) under uncultured Geobacter sp. RNAcentral describes it as "bacterial SSU rRNA". It matches the Rfam family "Bacterial small subunit ribosomal RNA", at positions 338 to 795 of the family's 1533-position model. Lineage: Bacteria; Pseudomonadati; Thermodesulfobacteriota; Desulfuromonadia; Geobacterales; Geobacteraceae. The record is from RNAcentral.